Long non-coding RNA from Brienomyrus brachyistius, 636 nucleotides. RefSeq lists it as uncharacterized. The record is from RefSeq and is a predicted model, not a curated record. Lineage: Eukaryota; Metazoa; Chordata; Actinopteri; Osteoglossiformes; Mormyridae. The transcript is spliced from 3 exons.
CCCCCCGUGACCCAGUAGGAUAAGCGGUUUGAAAAAUGGAUGGAUGGAUGGAUAGUUUAAUAUGCUGUUACAGUUAGAUUUCACUUUUUCUAAUCAUGUAGAUGGCAGAAUUUUAUGUGGUGGAAUUUCCUGAGCGGGAAGAAGUAGCAGUGGUGAGCAAACACUGGAUGAAGGGGGAGAAGAAGUGUCCGUGGCCAACAUUUGUUUCGCCAGAUAAAAUAAGAAAAGCUGCAACCAAUCAGGUAAAACCUGACAUUUCCUGGCAGUGUUAUGCAGGUGAAAUUGCCUAUUCAACAGAAAGUUGUGAGAAAGCCAAGAAAAAUGCCAAGGCGAUAGAAGAGGACUCUUCGUUUUCCAGUGAUCCAGAAUGACAGCUGCAAAGGGGAGAUCGUUGUAGAAGGGUGGCCCUUAUAAAUGGAAAAAAGGCUAAAGAAUAACCAAGGACGUCGGACUGAAUCGCAGACAGCAGACGAAGAAGGCUUCACAGAGACAUUCUGUGAUUUAUUUGACAUUGCUCACCAGAUGCAUUGUCAUUAAUUACUGCUGAAGAAGACAAAGCCUUUCUGCUUGCACAACGUGAACAAGGCCCAAAGGGUGUCAUGGCAGGCGUGGAUGCAUCGCCGGUAAAGAAAAAAG